This 473-nucleotide long non-coding RNA is filed under the name Marmota monax (woodchuck). The record is from RNAcentral. Lineage: Eukaryota; Metazoa; Chordata; Mammalia; Rodentia; Sciuridae.
GUUGGAAAAAUUUUGAACUUUCUCUUCCCAGAUUUAUAGGGUUAAAUCUGCACAACUCCCCCCCCCCUUGCUGGAGAUCCACCAAAGAGCCUGGAGCCCCAGUUCAGAGCUGGGGGUGGGGUGUCUCUGGAGGCAGGGGAGGCUGCAGUUCCUCAGCCCCCACCCCAUCCCAGGGCCAGCUUGCAGCCACCCCUCCCUGCCUGGGAGAAGCCCUGCUGGGCUCUGAGGCCAGGCAGUAAAUUGGAAUGCAGAAGUCACAGUCCAAGGCAGCUGUAACUCUCAUUAAAGUGACAUCAACCCCACUUCGGGAGGAUGCUGUAAAUCCAGGGAAAGGGGGCAUUCAUCCAGGGAGAACCGCAGAAGCAAAGAAAAAAACCAUAAAUAGAGGAGACGUGGUGUCUGGAACUAAUGGUGGGGCCCUCCCUGCCCAAGGCUGUGCUGAACUGGGGGUGGGGAAGGAGCUAAGGCCAGAG